GAUCCUAGCUCAGGAUGAACGCUAGCUACAGGCCUAACACAUGCAAGUCGAGGGGCAGCGGGAAGGAAGCUUGCUUUCUUCGCCGGCGACCGGCGCACGGGUGCGUAACGCGUAUCGAACCUACCCUUUACUCGGGAACAGCCUUGCGAAAGCAAGAUUAAUGCCCGAUGUUCCGCGUUUGCUGCAUGGCAAAUUCGGCAAAGAUUUAUCGGUGAUGGAUGGGGAUGCGUCUGAUUAGCUUGUUGGCAGGGUAACGGCCCACCAAGGCAACGAUCAGUAGGGGUUCUGAGAGGAAGGUCCCCCACAUUGGAACUGAGACACGGUCCAAACUCCUACGGGAGGCAGCAGUGAGGAAUAUUGGUCAAUGGGCGAGAGCCUGAACCAGCCAAGUAGCGUGCAGGAUGACGGCCCUAUGGGUUGUAAACUGCUUUUAUAAGGGAAUAAAGUGGGUCACGUGUGACUUUUUGCAUGUACCUUAUGAAUAAGGACCGGCUAAUUCCGUG
Molecule: ribosomal RNA, 503 nt
Filed under: uncultured bacterium
Lineage: Bacteria
Description: bacterial SSU rRNA
Rfam family: Bacterial small subunit ribosomal RNA
Source: RNAcentral